Molecule: long non-coding RNA, 2122 nt
Organism: Ictalurus punctatus (channel catfish)
Lineage: Eukaryota; Metazoa; Chordata; Actinopteri; Siluriformes; Ictaluridae
Source: Ensembl
AUAAGCUUUGCUGUCCGAUCCAUGCAGUUAUAGAAAAUUAAUCAACAUUUUUGUCCAAUAGGAUCAACUAAAUAAAUAAUACUGUUGGUCAUGUACAAUAAAUACACAAUGAGAUUGGUUUCAAUGAGUGCAUUGCAAGCAGUGCAGUAAUAUUUGAGGUCUAGUGUGAUUACUCCUCGGAAAAACACUCCUUAAUUGCUGACAUUGAACAUGAAGUUGAACUAUAAACUAAAUACAUUUUAUGUGCAAAAUCAUUAAAACAUUUCCUCGAGAUUACCUCAACUAACUUAUAACUCAGUUUAAUCUUAUAUUAAGUACUAUUUUUACACAAUGAGGAAAGCGUUUUGUGUGUUCUGAUAUCCCAGAUCAGUCAGGCCACAGUCACUGCGCCGAUUUGAACAUAUCGGAUCUUAGUUCCAAAUCAAAGCACUUCUAUUUCCUGUCAGAAUUGGUGUUCAAAGCAGAUAUGAACAAAGCUUGUUCUGUCAUUUCGUGAGCUGCUGCUCUGUGUGUCAAAGCAGGAGGAUGAAAAGAAGCCAAAGCAGAUUAAUACUGUAUAAUCUAACCAGUAGUCAUUUUGCAUUACCUCAGCCUCUUUUCUUUUUCUUUUUUUUUAUCAUUAUCAUUUGUCUUCUUGUUUUAAAAGACAGACAACACAGAGUUCAUUCUGACAAUCUGACACAAAGAGUUUGUUUAAGAGAAAUGGAUCUAGGGUGGUAAUUGUUAGUGUGUGUGUGUGUACUGUGUCUCAUCACUACAGCCAACCAUACUGCUAGAUUUUUAGUGCUUUAAACUGGUAAUUAAAGUAAAAAGACACAGUUUUGCAUGUGUUUUUCUUUUGAAAUGUAUAGACUCAUGCUACGGCUAGUGAUACGGCUAAUUAAAUGUAUGUUACAUUUUACCACUCUUCCACAUGUUCUUUAGUGGAAUGGAAGCUUGGUUAUUUUUCUUGACAUGAUUUGGUCUUAGCCAGUGUGCCAGAGCACACUGCUGCCAUGCUGCAGUCAGGCUGUGUGCUUGAAUCCAGAGUCAAUGGAGGCAUAGGUUUUGAUCACUGACACACCCCUAUAUAUAGCUUGAAAAGUGCCUUGAGACUCUAUGCACAGGAGGAGGUUCAGACCCAGACCAAUGCAGAGUGUGAGGAGCUUGCACAUCAGGACGAGUGGAUUCAGCUGAGCUGAUGGUGUGACACUCAAAGAAUUCUGACACUGAGGAUUUUGCCUGCAGAUAUGGCUUUGGGUAAUAUAUUGUCUCAUGACAAGGAACUAAGAAAAAUGAUAGAGAGUUUGGAGUUUAUGACUCGAGACAAAAGCAAGACAUCCCUAAUUAUGUUAGUGGCUUUCAACAGUUAUGACAAAACAGGACUGAGUGUGGGUUAUCUUCAUAAAGUAGGAUUCUCACAGUGAAGGAUUCAAAAAUACCAACACACUUUAAUCCUAUACACACAGAUGGGCUUUUUUUUGGAUGCUGGCUGGAGAUGCAAAAUGAAGAUAUGGACAUUUUAUUUAGAUUUUUAAAAAGAAAUGUAAAGCAUGCAGCAGGACCACUGAGCCAGCAAUGAAUAAUUUGUUUUUCUAUCAGCCAAAGGAAAAUGUCAUUCAAAAGUACUAACAAAUAAGUACCCUGAAAAUAAAAGUGCUAUAAUGACAAACUAUAAUUGCACCAAAUAUUUAAAAAAUAAUAAUAAUAAUAAAAUAAAUACAAUACUGUUGUUUUGUUUUAUUCCUUUAUGGGGUUUUUUUUGUUGUUGUUUUUUUGAUAGGAGUCCACAGUCCAUCCAUUUUACAGACCGUUUAUCCUACAAAGGGUCGCAUGGGAUCCUAUAGCCUAUCCCAGGGCGCUCGGGGCACAAGAACCCCCAACCCCAGAGGUGCGAGCAAACAUGCUAACCACUAAGCUGUCAUACCCCUUGAUCAGUUUCCACGGAUCCAUCCCCCAGUGUGAAUGAUAACAGCAAGGCUAAACUCAUACCUUUCUUCUGAGUCACCUAGAGAACUCGGCUGUCUCUUUGGAGUCAGAUUAAUGACUGAGUGGUUAGUGUUUGCCUUUUUGUCUAAGACCUUAAAAUUCUUAGUUAUCUGUAGCACCAAGAAAGUAACACAAAAAACAGUCAAGGACAUUA